This 2495-nucleotide long non-coding RNA is filed under the name Fragaria vesca (wild strawberry). Its description in RNAcentral is "long non-coding RNA (FVES_LNC005534)". The record is from RNAcentral. Lineage: Eukaryota; Viridiplantae; Streptophyta; Magnoliopsida; Rosales; Rosaceae.
UUGGCUAUAAUACUUUUUAUACAUUCGGCACAUUGUGAUUGUGAUGAUCAAAUUUGAAAAACGAAAAUCCGACCAUCAGAUCUGACCAUCAUGAUAAAAUACAUGUAUGAGAAAAAAUUCAACUUGAUCCGACAAGGUUAAGGGCUCGAUCCGGACGGUCAAUCCCGUAAGUCAAACCCUAAACGCAAGGAAAAGGCCAUUGGACCGUCUAAAUUACGAAUUUUCGCCGGACCUUCAACUGAAAAUAGUUUCAAAUCGAUGAGACGCAACAAUUUGUAUAAAAAUUUUACGGAAAAUAACCACCAAAGAUAGGGCUACCCAUAGGGAGAAAGAAAGGAAAAUUGCAUUGACCGCAACUACGAGCAUCGAGACUUUACCGGAAUACCGUGAUUUUUCAACCGAAAACGUAUUUCACCAUUCUGGUCAUAUCUUAUUUCACGACUUUUUUGCAUUUGAAGGUUCUACGUAUAGUUUGUUUUUGAAACGGAACAUUUACUUGGUAAACAAGUUAUACAACAUUAGUAGGCACCUUGUGAUUGUGAUGAUCAAACUUGAGAAAUGAAAAUCCGAUCGUUAGAUCUGACCAUCAUGAUAAAAUACAUGUAUGAGAAAAAAUUCAACUUGAUCCGACAAGGUUAAGGGCUCGAUCCGGACGGUCAAUCCAGUAAGUCAAACCCCUAAACGCAAGGAAAAGGUCAUUGGACCGUCUAAAUUACGUAUUUUGGUCGGACCUUCAACUGAAAAUAGUUUCAAAUCAAUGAGACACAACAAGUAGUAUAAAAAUUUUACAGAAAAUAACCACCGAAGGUAGGGCUACCCAUAGGGAGAAAGAAUGAAAAAUUGCAUUGACCGCAACUAUCGGCACCGAGACUUUACCGGAAUACCGUGAUUUUUCAACUGUAGAUGUAUUUCACCAUUCUGGUCAUAUCUUAUUUAACGACCUUUUUACGUUUGAAGGUUCUACGUAUAGUUUGUUUUUGAAACGGAACAUUUACUUAACACUAGGUAAACAAGUUAUACAACAUUAGUAGGUGUGUUGUGAUUGUGAUGAUCAAACUUGAGAAACGAAAAUCCGACCGUCAGAUCUGACCAUCAUGAUAAAAUACAUGUAUGGGAAAAAAUUCAACUUGAUCCGACAAGGUUAAGGGCUCGAUCCAGACGGUCAAUCCCGUAAGACAAACCCCUAAUCGCACGGAAAAGGUCAUUGGACCGUCUAAAUUACGUAUUUUGGCCGGACCUUCAACUGAAAAUAGUUUCAAAUUGAUGAGACGCAAUAAGUCGUAUAUUAGGGUAUUCGUCGGCUAAGGUUUAGGGUUUAGCCGACGAAAUAUUAGGGUAUUCGUAUAUUAGUGUAUUACAAAUCGAUCAACUCAAAUAAAACUCAAAAUCAACAUAUAUACACAUAUACGUACCUAUAUAUAGCUCCAAAAACUAAUUAUGGACAGAUUUCGACAACACCCAAACUUUUUCUCCCGUUUUUUUUUCCUAGAUGAGCUGUUGUCCAGAUCUGCAAAUAUAAGGCACUUUAGCCGACGAAAUUUUAUAAUUUCGUCGGCUAAACUUUUAUAUAGACGUCGGCUAAAGUUCACAAACUAUAGCCGACGAAAAAAACGCUGGCACCAGUCAGGUUCUCUUCCUCUCCUCGGCGCAAUCCUCCCUAUGUUGGUGGGUGAGGACGACUCGAGCAGAGCUGUGCAAUUCGAGCGCCACAAUGAGGGCGGCGACCCAAUUUUCAACCUGAUCGAAAUUCUCACUUCCGGCGGCGGUGACGAGACUUGAAACCGGUCAAGAUAGAAGCUCUUUGGCGCCCUGGUUAGACUUAUGGUAGUCUUGAAGCUCGAUUCGAAGCUUGGUUGUGCAGAGUUGGGUUUCAAACUUUCCGGUGAGUUUCUAGCAUGCUCCAACCGAAUUGGAGGUUACUCCAGGUAUGAAAGUUGCUCCCCUUACCUUGAUGUUCAUGUUGGGUAUAGUGGUUGUGCUUUUGUUGCAGGUUUGUGUGGUGGUGCGUGGGGCCCACUCGUUGUCGUCUGUGGUGGUGGUGGGUGGCGAUGCGUCCAGCAGGGGUUGGGAGGUCUGUUGUAAUUGUUAGCUUGUGCUCGUCGAUACGAGCACGUUGGCAUGUCUUGAGGUUUUGUUUGGAUCAAGUUUUGCAUCCUAGGUUUAAAGUUAAGUUGAAAAUCGUGUGAGGUUGUUAAGCUAUGGUGUAUGAGCUUUAAAAAUCUCGUUAACUAUUAAUAGGUUGGUGAGGGUUCCUAUGACCUUGGGAGGUCUCGGAAGAAGGGUUGUCUUGAAGGACAAGACCUUGGGUCAAGGGUAGAGUCUCGAUUCAAGGGGGAAGUGUUUUGGGCAUGUUGGUUACUAAACUGAACACUGUAUUAAUAGGUGGUUAUCAGGAGCUUAGUGGUGCUUUCAUUUGUCUUUGUGUGAAGACGCAGUGGGAGUUAAGGUGAGUAAAUCUCACAUGGGUUCAUAAAGGAACCGAGUUUACUUUAUAG